RNAcentral lists this ribosomal RNA (542 nucleotides) under uncultured bacterium. RNAcentral's name for it is "partial 16S ribosomal RNA". It matches the Rfam family "Bacterial small subunit ribosomal RNA", at positions 355 to 889 of the family's 1533-position model. The record is from RNAcentral.
UGGGGAAUUUUGGACAAUGGGCGAAAGCCUGAUCCAGCAAUGCCGCGUGUGUGAAGAAGGCCUUCGGGUUGUAAAGCACUUUUGUCCGGAAAGAAAUCCUUGGCUCUAAUACAGUCGGGGGAUGACGGUACCGGAAGAAUAAGCACCGGCUAACUACGUGCCAGCAGCCGCGGUAAUACGUAGGGUGCAAGCGUUAAUCGGAAUUACUGGGCGUAAAGCGUGCGCAGGCGGUUUGCUAAGACCGAUGUGAAAUCCCCGGGCUCAACCUGGGAACUGCAUUGGUGACUGGCAGGCUAGAGUAUGGCAGAGGGGGGUAGAAUUCCACGUGUAGCAGUGAAAUGCGUAGAGAUGUGGAGGAAUACCGAUGGCGAAGGCAGCCCCCUGGGCCAAUACUGACGCUCAUGCACGAAAGCGUGGGGAGCAAACAGGAUUAGAUACCCUGGUAGUCCACGCCCUAAACGAUGUCAACUAGUUGUUGGGGGAUUCAUUUCCUUAGUAACGUAGCUAACGCGUGAAGUUGACCGCCUGGGGAGUACGGUCGC